GGCUUUGGACUGCGGAGCACGCCGGGAGUCGUAGUCCCCAGGCCUGCUCGGGCCCACCUCGUCGGAGACGAGCAGGAACCGCCUCCUCUUCUUUGCAUAUCGGCGAAGUGUAGUUCUCAAGAGCAUUGUGGGGCCGGUUGCUGCCCGAAUCUCUCUAGGGAAUGGGACCGAGUUGGGGACCCAGACUCCCUGGCCUUCAUGGCCACAGUCCUGUCGCCGCCCCACCAAAAGCCAAUCUCUAAGAAUCUGGAACGAUGAAGGUGAUGAUUGUGCCUGUGGCCAAGACCGGGAGAACCCUGGAUCCCUACACCUUCCCCACCCCUGGAAUGUCACUAUACAUAUCUGACUUCUUCUGAUGUUGCCUUUGACCCUAAAGUCAAUAUGAUAAAGUAACAAGAAGCUGGGACAGAGGAACAAACACAGCCCACUCAAGCAGUGGUGGCAACAUUCUGUUAGAAAGGAGGGGAGUCAAAGAAAAAAACACCCCUCCGCCCAUCUCCUUAUCACCUCCCUAAAGACAGAGGAGAACAUGGACACCCUCCAUCCUGAUAGACAUGCCAUGUGGUCAGUUUGUG
RNAcentral lists this long non-coding RNA (575 nucleotides) under Homo sapiens (human). RNAcentral's name for it is "novel transcript". The record is from RNAcentral. Lineage: Eukaryota; Metazoa; Chordata; Mammalia; Primates; Hominidae.